UUUUUUUUUUUUUUUUUGUUUAUUAAAUUAGUAGAGAAGCUUCAAAUCCGUGAAACAGAUUUGUAGGAAGCUGAGAUUUUGAAAGUUUUGAUCGAUCAGUUUCGAUAAGAGUAGCUUGAAUUCUGUAAAUUUAUAGUCAACUAUUUUGUUUGCUUUCUUUUACUUGUUGAGUGAUGGAAGAGGAGAAUCAGAGCAAUAAAAGCAGCAGAAUAAGUUGCAGUAGCGGCAUGUCCGACGUAGUUUUGGGUUGCGUGAUGCCGUAUAUCCAUGACCCACGGGACCGCGACGCCGUUUCACUCGUUUGCCGCCGCUGGUAUGAGCUUGAUGCCCUGACACGAAAGCAUAUAACCAUAGCUUUAUGCUAUACGACGAGCCCAGAUCGGCUUCGACGUCGCUUCAAGCACCUCGAA
Molecule: unclassified non-coding RNA, 410 nt
Filed under: Hevea brasiliensis (rubber tree)
Lineage: Eukaryota; Viridiplantae; Streptophyta; Magnoliopsida; Malpighiales; Euphorbiaceae
Source: RNAcentral